UACACGCUGUGACUAGCAUAUCAAUAAGCGGAGGAAAAGAAACUAACAAGGAUUCCCCUAGUAACGGCGAGUGAAGCGGGAAGAGCUCAAAUUUGAAGUCUUAAAGGGUUUCCCUUUACGAAUUGUAGUUUAAAGAAGUGUUUUCUGUUGAGGUUUUGGUAAAAGUUCUUUGGAAUAGGACAUCAUAGAGGGUGAGAAUCCCGUAUUUGACCUUUACUUUCAACUUUGUGAUACACUUUCAAAGAGUCGGAUUGUUUGGGAAUGCAGUCCAAAAUGGGUGGUAAAUUUCAUCUAAAGCUAAAUAUUGGCGAGAGACCGAUAGCGAACAAGUACCGUGAGGGAAAGAUGAAAAGAACUUUGAAAAGAGAGUUAAACAGUACGUGAAAUUGUCAAAAGGGAAGCGUUUGACACCAGUGUUGGUUUUCUGAAAAUCAAUUGAAGAACUGUUUAUGCUAAGCUGUUUAGACUUUAUCAGCUAAUCUGUUUAGUUUUGAGCUUUUCUUUAAUGCACUUUUCAGUUAACAAGUCAACAUCAAUUUCUUUUGCUGUAAAAAAGCUUGAGGAAGGUGGCUUGAGAUUCGUCUUAAGUGUUUAUAGCCUCUUGCCUAUGCAGUCGGAGAGAUUGAGGUCUGCAGCGUAGAUCCUUCGGGGCUAAAUGCAUUUGUGCUAAGUUAUAACAUUUUAUAGACAACUUGUUGACUAUGAUUUGUCUUGUAGCUUACUCGCUUAUGUUAUUUUACCUACGCUUAGGAUGUUGACACACGCGCGUGCUCG
RNAcentral lists this ribosomal RNA (774 nucleotides) under uncultured Neocallimastigales. RNAcentral's name for it is "partial large subunit ribosomal RNA". It matches the Rfam family "Eukaryotic large subunit ribosomal RNA", at positions 22 to 643 of the family's 3401-position model. Lineage: Eukaryota; Fungi; Neocallimastigomycota; Neocallimastigomycetes; Neocallimastigales. The record is from RNAcentral.